This is a long non-coding RNA of Malaclemys terrapin pileata, 437 nucleotides long. RefSeq lists it as uncharacterized. The transcript has 4 exons. The record is from RefSeq and is a predicted model, not a curated record. NCBI's taxonomy places the organism in Eukaryota, Metazoa, Chordata, Testudines, Emydidae.
AAAAUUACUAAGAUUUCCAGUUUACUGGAUAUGAAGUUAUUUGAUAGUUGCUAACUCUGUAAUAGAUUACACAGUUUGUUUUAUGUCACGUGAACUUUGUACCAGGCUAUUCUGAGUUCAUAAAUAUGCGGAACUUCAUACAAGCAGCCCUUGAAAGUCAAUUUCUGCAGAUUUUACUGGUUGUUCUUAGUGACAUUGACAUCUCAGUGUGAAAUCUUUCACACUGUUGGACUACACACGUGGGCUGCCCUGGAAGUGAUUCUUAAACCGGAGAAGAUCUCUGUAGAUGUGAGGAGGCACAAAAGGGACAGUUUAUUCUUUCGAAGUUGCUGGAACUGCUUGCAGUAAGAAAUAAAAGCUGUGCGUCAAUCAAGAAAACUAUUUCAAUUGUUCAGAACAUGCUGCUAAACUAACCUUUGCAGCUACAUUUUUAGACG